CUCAAAAUGGCGGCCGCGACGGCCGUUGAGUGAGAGGCACGGAGAAGGGGGGCCUGGCCGGGGAGGGCGCUGCCCUCGCUCGCGUCCUCCCGGCCCGGGAUCGGGGGCUGCCGGGACCGCCACGACUCCGCCCGCGGUCUUCCCAGACAGGGGAUCGCCCUCCUCCGCGGUGACUUAGCAGGAAAAGUAUUCUUGGGUAGGAAGGGCGUGGGGAGCAGGUUGCUCUCUGAUCUUGGGGAAAGGGCUCGGCCCUCCUUCUCUCCCCGGCCGCGGAGGCGAGCUCCGCAGUCCCCACCCCUCCGCGGCUGUAGGCUCGGGGCCCAGGCUUAGGCACCUACCGGGCCUUCCAGGCGUUCCGUCCCCCACCUGUCCUUAGGAUGGGGUUGACCUGAGGAGGAUGGACCGCCGCCUCCCAGUCUCCCCCCUCCCCCACACCGAUGCAGUGGUCCAGCCUCUGCGGCCCGGCCCCUCUGUUCCAAACAAUCUGCAGCAUCCACCCACCAAAUCGGGCAGGGUUUUCUUUUCUGCCACCGGCUCCUCGGACGGGAGUUGCCUUUUGACGUUGUUAACACUGAGCUUCGAGGGCCUCUGCCAUUUCCCUUCCUCUCAUCUCAUCUCCCCUUUGCUUUAGGAAAUGCAGUGCCUGUAUCUAUUUACCCUCUAGCCUUCCAGGUGAGAAAAUGCCUUUGAGGUGGUGGCAGGUUUUGACUCUUCCUCUCUAAAACAUCACAUUGGAGAGGAGGAUAUUUUCAGUAUUUGAGAUAGGGGAGAACAAGGUGCCCGGCUUUAUUUGUUUUUCUGUCUUUCUUCAGUGACUUAGCAAGAAACUCCUUGAGAGAAGGGCAGGAAAUUUUCCUUUCAGGUUGGGGUUUGAGUCCAGUUCAUACCAAUCCUUUAGUUAAGAAAUUGUGCUUUUGGAGAGAAGGACCAGAUUUGUAAUCUUGUUCUCAAUGGGCGAUGUCAUGCCAAGGACUCCCCCCCUUUCCUUAAGAGGCUCUCAGGAGAAAAUAAAGAUAACUCCUGUUAUUCCAGCCUUUACUUUGAGCACACAGUCCUUAAGACUCAUAACAUUUUAAAGGCUAAACAAAAUAUUUGUGCCAUUUUUGGCAAUUCUAUUUUUUUUGGGGGUGGAUUGUUUUGUGUGAAUUUCUUUUUGAGGCUAGGGCGGAGGAGACAGUGCUUGGGCCGCUUAUACAGUAAUAUUGUCAUCCCUCCCCUUUUGCCACAGUAGUAUUUGCUUAAUUCUCCCCACCCCCAGCAGAGCUUAAUUGCUGCAGGGUUCAAUCCCUUAAUGGGGAAUAUUUUCUACUUGUGUAUGUUGGUAGUGAUAUAAGGUUGAAGAUGUUAAAAGCUUUCACGUAAAAAUUUUGGUUUGGUAUUAAGACAUUAGACAUCUUUUAAUUUCCAAUGAGGUUCUUUCAGAACAGUUUUGCAAAAUAAUUGGCAGGUGCAAAUUGAGGUUUUUAUUAAAGCAAAAGAGUAAUUUAUGGGGCGAUUUAUUCUAUUAUAAAUGAUCAUUGGAUUGUUAAGAAGGGACCUCCUAAAACAAAUUUAAGCUAGUAUAUUUUUUGAGAUCAGAGAAAGGAACCCAAUUUUUUACAUGAAAAAUUUCUGAAUAUGUUGAUUUUGAUGGAGCAAUCUCUAUUUUGGUACCUUCUCCCACCUCUUUUUAAAAAAUGGGCUAAUAUUUGUGUAUGCUGUGAACAGCCAUUGAGCCAAGAAGACUGGGUGGAGUAAGAGAACAGGAGCUGUGAAAUGCCAGAUUGCCCUUUCAUAGCAUUUUUCUCUUCUAUGUUUUAUAAGGUUGAUACUAAUUGUUGCUUCAACAAAGGCAUUUCUCUAUAGUAAAUCUUAAAAUCUCAUGUUUUCCAUAUUUUUUGCAAUAUGGGCAUUGAAUAAUUGGAAGAAAAUACAAUAUCCCUGCACUAAAGCAGACUUAUUGUCUAUUAGUGUAUAUAUGUAAAAUACAUAAACACACAUAUAUACUCUUGUUAAUUUUUUUAUUGUUCUAGUCAAAUAAGUAUAAAUUAAUGAGUUAUAAAAAUAACUGGCAAGAAAUAGUUGGUAUUCUGCAAACAAAUCUGAUAAGAAUAGUACAAAUGUUUUCUUUUACUUUAGCUUGCACUAAAACAGUCAUCUGUCUUUGAGUUUUAAAAAAUGAACAUGAAAAAUGAGGGGGGGGAAGGAUAAAAUAACUUGCAUUAUAGGCUCUUUACAUGGAUCUUUUUCUCUUGUGUCACCCCUUGAAAGGGACUUUUUUGUGAGAUACUACCAUAAGAGAGGAUAGGUCACUUUAACAUCUUGAAUGGAGCAUUCAUAAGUAGACAUUUUUAAAAAACAAUUUCAAAUUAAAGAGAUAAAUAUGAUUUUGAUGAGCUUUGUAAUUGUUUUGUCAACUUAUAUGUUUUUACAUUUUUCUUCUCUUUAAUGUGAUUAGAAAGUGGAAGGGUUAAUAUAGUAAGGAAUGAGUAGGUUGGGAAUGAUUAUUCACUCUAUUGUGUGUCUAACCUAUCCCCAUCUCUACUAUUUGUAAUUAUAAAAGCACAAGGUGUCAAUUUUUCAGUGAUCAGGAUCUUCAGAUAAUUUGGUGUGUGUGUAUGGUUCUGAUACAUGUGUCAGAAUAUUUUGCUUAAUUUGGAGAUCAAUUUUUUAAAAUUUUCACAAUCUUAUAAAUAUAAAACUUUUAAUGAGCUUGGGAUGAAUUUUAUUUUUAGUGGAGUUUUUGGAAUCUGCUUUAAAUUUUCUAAUAUAUAGAUAUUUCCAGGUAAAAUACCUCUUUAGUGUAUAUUUAGUGGAAAUAUUCUGGGAAGGAAAUCAGUAUCUCAAAAUUUUUGGUGUUCUGGCUUAGAAUAUUCUUGUUGCUUUGUCUAUAUUUUAAAAAAGAAAGGAAUAAGUGUUUUCCUUUUGGUUAUAUACUAAGGUGUGCGCACACGCUCACACACACACACACACACACAUAUAUAUAUAUAUAUACACACACACAUACAUACAUAUAUGUAUGUGAAUGUGAUUCACAACUUGUUGUCUUGAUAAAUAAGCCACAGAAAAUGUAGAAGUUGUCAACAUUAAGAUGGAGAUGUCUUAAAAAACAAAUCCAAAGCAAAAUAUUAGGCAGAAGGAUUUUUCCAAUUUAUAUCAUUGAGCUCUAAAGCAGUGAGUCAUGCAUGCUUUUGCCAAAGGAACUUGAGGCUCAAGUUGAUUUUUUUGCUCUUUUUUGGGGGCAGGGGGUACUGGCGUUGAACUCCGGGGCAUUUUGACCACUGAGCCACAUCCCCACCCCUGUUUUGUAUUUUAUUGAAACAGGAUCUCACUGAGUUGCUUAGCACCUCGCUUUUGCUGGGACUGGCUUUGAACUUGCAAUCCUCCUGCCUCAGUCUCUCAAGCCACUGGGAUUACAGGCAUGUGCCACUGCGCCUAGCUGAUGCUCACAUUGAUUUUAAAUCUGAUCAUGUCUGCUUGUGGUCCUGAUUAUAAUAUAGUUUUGUUUUUUUUAAAGUUCUAGGGAUAAAACCCAGGGCCCACUAGGCAAGUGGUGUAAGAUUUAGUUAUACUCUACAGACUGAGAUGUUUUACUUGCUUUUAAGUCUCUUUUAUGAAAAUAAUUCAUUAUGAAGGUAACCUGUUUCUAUGUACUUUGGAAAGAGAGAAUUAUGUUUGAAUUGGAAAUUUUUUGCCACUGUUAUUUCUUCUACAAUUGUUACUGUAUUUUUUCUUUUUUUAACUGGAAAAGUUGCUCUAUUUAAAAUAAAACUAAUGAGUAUACAAUAUGAAUACUGAAGCAAAAAAAGCAAAUCUGCUGUUCUCCUGAAGAUCAUUAACUAUAAAGUGAACCUUAGUUGUUGAAGUCUAAGCAUGUUGAGAAAUCUGCAUUUCAUGAAGAAAGAUGCUGUAUUAUGUAACCCAAUAGUUAACUGCAGAGAAGGCUUUUUGGAUUGUUCUAGCUUUGUUGCUGGUUUGGUACGACAUUUAAAUGAAACCUUAGUUUAACUUCUGCUAUGUGUAUAAUUUUUAUACUCAGCAUGGCAGUUACAGACUUUAAUUGAUAUUUGUGCUUUAUACUUAUUGAUGCAUGUAUCAUAUAUGCUUAUUAUUUUGAUUUAUUGUUUUGUGUUUAAAAGAUAGUGGCUUUUGGUUGAAGUAGUUAGGACUAAUCUGCAUUUAUCAAGGAUACUUCUGGAAAGGUAUUAUCAUUUAACAUUAUCAGAAAUAUUUCUCAAAAGCUUCAUAAAUAUAGAACCUGGUCCUCAUUAUCAUUUGUUCUCUCAAUUAUUUUUAAGUUUGAUUGAUAAUUUUUUUAAGAGAGAGAGAGAGAAUUUUUUUUAAUAUUUAUUUUUUUUAGUUUUUGGCGGACACAACAUCUGUGGUUUUUUUUGUAUGUGGUGUUGAGGAUCGAACCCGGGCCGCACGCAUGCCAGGGGAGCGCACUACCGCUUGAGCCACCUCCCCAGCCCAGAUUGAUACUUUUAUGGAUGAGAGAACUAAAAUUCUGGUAAUAUUAUAGUCAUUGUACUACUUGGAUAUUGGCAUAUAUUUCCUUUUCUAACUAUAAAUUCCUUAUCUUUUAAAAUUUAUUUUCUAAAAUAAUGACAAUCUGGUCUUUGUUGCCUGCAGCAUUUAAAUUGGUGUUUAAUAACAUGAUCUUAUAUUGUUGACUGUUCUGCAUAUAUAAGGCCUUAGGCAUUUGAGCAGGAACUGCCAGAAAGUGCCUAAUACUGCUUUUAAAGGUAGUAUUGAUAAGUUGUUAAUAACUUGUUAUUUGAUUGAAGUAUUAAUAACUUGUUGCAUUUGAUUGAAUGCAGUAUUAUGUGAAAAGAAAUGUGCUGGGGCUAGAGGUGUAUAGUUCAGCCGUACAUCACUUGCCUAGCAUGUCCUAGGCUGUGGGUUAGAUCCCCAGCAAUCUCAGGGUGGGAGUAGAGGUUGGAAAGUUCUAUACUAUAGUACUGUGACCCAUCCAGAAUUAAGGGGAUGGAGGUGUGGAGAGGGGCAAGUGUUUUUAGUUCCUCUGCAGAGGUUUUAUGUUGUCCAAUGGGAACAGGAUCACAUGUCAACAAAAUUUUUAACUAUAAAAAAGCGAAUUAAUGCCACUGGACAAACUACAUACGCAUUUUGAUAAUUGCUUUAGGGGCUCUUUAUGUUGACAAGAGUGGGUAAUUGAGGCUAUUAAGCAAUGUUCUGUCUUUCCAUAGUAGUGAAAUUAAGAAUCUGGGAAAUUAUUUUUAAGAAUUUUAAUGUGUAUGUGGAGGUGCUGGGAUUGAAUCCAAGGCCUUGCACUUCAUAUAUGUGCUUUAUCACUGAGGUGUACCUCCAGCCUUAAUAAUUUUUAAUUUUUGAAAGCAUUAUAGAAAGUUUUAUUUAUUAAGAUUUCAUACAUUGUGGAUUAAUCUGGUUUUAACUUAUGGCAAAGAUACAAGAAUAUGUUUUAUGAUACUAGUGUUUUGUAUGUAUGAAGCAUAUCUUUCUUUUUUCUUUUUUUUUCUUUUUAUUUGCAGUACUGGCAGUUGAACCCAGGGCCUCCCACAUGAAGUGUUCUAUAACUGAGCUACAUCCUAUCUAUUUUUCUCUCUCCUCCUCCUCCUUCUCCUUUUUCUUUUCUUUCUUUCUUUUUUUUUUAAACCAGGGAUUGUACCAGGGGUACUUAACCUCUGAGCUACAUCCCCAUCGACUUUUACUUUUUAUUUUUUGAGACAGGGUCUUGCCAAGUUGCCCAUGCCAUAAUAAACUGAUGAGGCUGGCUUCGAAUUUGUGAUCCUCCUGUCUCAGCCUCCUGAGCCGCUGGGAUUACAGGCCUGUGCUACCUCACCCAGCAUAUUUCCAUAUUUUUAUUAAAAAUAUGUGGACUAUAAGCUGGGUAUGAUGGUGCAUGCCUAUAAAUCCCAGUGGCUCAGCCUUCUGAGGAGCUGGCCUGUAGGCAUGUGCCACUGUUCCUGGCUAGAAUUAUUUUUGUUUGAGAAUUUAGUCAUCAAUGUAAAAAGCCUCUAUACUCCUUUAUGUAUGUAUGUACGUAUGUAUGUGUUUGUAUGUGCUACUGAGGUUCAUAGUCAGGACCUUGUGCAUGCUAGGCAAAUGCUCUACUGCUGAGCUACAUCCCCAGCUUUCCCCCUUUUUUAAAAAAAAUAAUUUUAUUUUUGAAAAAUUUUAGAUAUAUUGAAAAGUUGUAGAGGUAGUUCGGAGAAUUUUCCAAUAUACUCUGCACCCAGUUUUCUUUAAUGGUAAUAUCUUCAAUUUCUGUGGUACAAUUGUAGAAAUUAAGAAACUAACCUUGGAGGUGGGCACUAUGGCACACACCUGUCAUCUCAGUUAAUCAGGAAUCUGAGGCAGGGGGAUCACAAGUUCCAGGCCAGCCUGGGCAACUUUGCAAGACCAUCUUAAAAUAAAAGUGUUGGGGGUGUAUUGAGUGGUAGAGCACUUGCCUAGCAUAGCAAGUGCAAGGCCCUAGACUCAACACCCAGUACUUGAAAAAAGAAAAGAACCUUGGUAUAUUACUACUAGCUAAACUUCAGACUAUUUGGAUCACCAAUUUUCAUUUAAUGUCUUCUUUCUGUUCUAGAUCCAUUUCAAGGUGUACUACAUUGCAUUUGGUUAUCAUGUGUCCCUAGUCUUUCUGGUCUGUGAUUUUCAGUUUUGUUUUUUGUGAACUUGGUAGGCAUGAGUAGUACUGGUCAGAUGCCCUGAAGAAUAUUCUCCAAACUGGGUUUGUCAUAUGUUUUUUAUGAUUUAGAAUGAGUAUGUGGGUUUUCAGUAAGAAAAUAUCACAGAGGUGAACUGUACUUCUCAUCACAUAUCAGAGGCUGUGUGAUACCUACAGAUAUCACUGCUGAUGUUAAACUUCAUCACUUAGUUAAUGUGGUAGUUGCUAGGUUUCUCUACUGUAAAGUUGUUCUUUUUCCUUUCCUUAGUUCAUCCUUUAGGAAGUAAGUUAGGUUACAACUUCUGGAUGGGGGGGGUAUAUAUUACUUAGUAAGGCAGAUCUUUCUGUCUCCUCUCCCCUUAUUAAAACAAGCUCCUUACCCCCACCUGCCCUGGCCUGGUAGUGGGGAUUGAAUCCAGGGAAGUGCUACCACUGAGCUUUUUUUUUUGGGGGGGGGUGGCAACAGGGUCUUGCAAAGUUGCCCAGGCUGGCCUGGACCUUGCAAUCCUUGUGCCUUGUAUCUCCUGAGUUGGGAUUACAGGCAUGUACCACCUUGACUAGCUUUCAUUUUAUAUUUUGAGACAGGGUUUCCCUACAUUGCUGAGGCUGACCUUGAAUUUGAUAUCCUCCUGCCUCAGCCUUGCUUGUUGCUAUUGUUACAGGUAUGCUCUUCCACUCCUGGCUAGAAUCUUACUAUAAAAACAACUGGUUAAAAAGAAAAGAAGCCAGUGUGGUGCACACCUGUAGUCCCAGUGGCUGGGGAGGCUGAGACAGGAGGAUCGAGAGUUCAGAGUCAGCCUUAGCAAUGGUGAGGUGGUAAGCAACUCAGUGAGACCCUGUCUCUAAAUAAAAUACAAAAUAGAUUUGCUCAGUGGUUGAGUGCCCCUGAGUUCAAUCCCUGAUAGGAAAAAAAGAAAGAAAGAAAGAAAAAAGCAAACGAAAAAACUACUGAUAGGUUCAUGACUUGAAAGAGAUGCUUAUUUUAUGUUAAGGAGAAUUUGUAAUUUGGAGGCAAGACAGUUCUUGAGAAUUGAAGUUGUUAUAUUUCUUGCAGUUGUUUUUCUAUUUGUCUUCCAUUGUAACACUUGUAUAGAGAACCUCACUUGGUUUUUACUUUUUAAAACAUUAUUCAACACCAUUACGUUUUUGUUUCCCUUCUAAAUUUUUAUCAUUCUCUUCAGCAAACAGUUAUUUUUCUAUAUGAUAUACUAAAGACAAGGGAUACAAACAUGAUUGUUAGCUUCUUCCCUCAAAGAUUUUAAAGUUUAUAAACAUAUAAAGGUGAUAAAAUCAAAAUAUGUAUUUGAUGGUAUGAGGGCUUAGCGCUUUUAAGUAAGGUUUUACAAAGAUGUUGGUUGAACAUUUUUGAAGAAAGCCUAUUAUAUUUUGGGGGGUUAUUGGGGAGAAUAUUGUUCAUAUGGAGAACGUAGUCUGUACUUAAAGAACAAAUUGGUGAGCAAGAGAGAUGCUUCACAUAGUUCAGUAUGGCUGAAAUGAUGGAUAAAGGUGGAGGAGUGACUACCUACUCUUAUCUGGCAUAUAGAACAAGGUGGUAAUAGAUUCUGCAUUGGAAUUAUCUGAUGAAAAUGUAGACUUCCAGCUCCAUCUUAGACUUAGCCAGUCAGAAUUCCAUAAGGUUACACCAGGCAUAUCUGCAUUUUUAAUAAGUUAUAUAGUUGAUUGUUUUUGAGAAUCAGUGCUUUUGCCCUGGUGGUACUGGUAGAGAAUAGUAAGUUGUAAUAUUGACUUCAUUAGAUUUGCUUUUUAGAAAGGUAACUGUCAGCAUUGUGGAAAAUGCAACAGUGGAACUUAGUAGACUAAUACUAUUUAAGUGGGAGUACAGAUUGAAAGAAUAAACUUGAGAACGUUUCAUAUGUAAAAUUGGAUGUGGGCAAUGAGGGAGGUGAGAAAUGAGGAAAGUAAUGAGUUGAAUUUUUUUGGUGGUGGGUAGUUGAGCUAUCAAGUAGAUGUGGGUAUUAUUAUUAUUUAAAAUACUUCUUUUAGUUGUAGUUGGACACAAACCUUUAUUUUACUUAUUUAUUUUUAUGUGGUUCUGAGGAUCGGACCCAGUGCCUCACACAUGCUAGGCAAGCGCUCUGUCACUUAGCCACAACUCCAGUCCAGUGGUGGAAGGAUUUUAAUAGAAAAAUCUUUAGAUUCUAUAAAGCUGUAGCCAUCAUUACGUUAUACUUAUUCAAGAAUCAUCUUACAACUGGAUUGGAUUUUGUCCCUGGACUUCUAAAACUUGUCUUUAAGGAGCUAAUAUGGCCAGCUUUAGUAAUUUAGUGAGACCCUAUCUCAAAAUAAGAAAGAAAAAGGACUGGGGAGGGGGUGUAGCUCAGUGGUAGAGUUCCCCUAGGUUCACUCCCCCGUACUGGGGGGAAAAAUAGACCAAAUAUAGGGAUUUUUUUGUUGCUGUUUAUGUGUGUAUGUGUUUUAGUAUUAGGGAUUGAACCCAGGGGUACUAAGUCCUUUUUUGUGUUUUUAUUUAGAGACAGGGUCUCACUGAGUUGCCUAGGGUCUAAUUAAGUUGCUGACCCUGGGUUUGAGCUCUGGAUCCUCUUGCCUCAGCUUCGCCAGCUGCUGGGAUUACAGGUGUGCGCCACUGUGCCCAGCUGUUUGUGUGUGGUUUAUUUAUUUAUUUACUUAUUUAUUUUUAUUAUUUUAAAAAAUAUUUAUCUUUUAGUUGUAGUUGGACACAAUACCUUUAUUUCACUUAUUUAUUUUUUAUGUGGUGCUGAGGAUCGAACCCAGGGUCUCGCGAGUGCGAGGUGAGCACUCUUCCACUGAGCCACAACCCCAGUCCCGUUUGUGUGUGUUUAAAUGUAAUAAUCAUUAGAUGUACUGAAGACAUGAAUGCUAAAACAUUUGGUGUUUCACAAGUUUAAAUAGUGUACUUAACUACAAUUUUUAUUAUUGCUUAGUAACUUUUAGUUAGCUUUUUCACUGCUACAACCAAAACACCCAACAAGAACAACUCAGAGGAGGAAAAUUUUACGUGAGGCUCAUGGUUUCAGAGAUCGCAGUCUUAUAAAUGGUGGAACCAUUGCUUUGGACUCAGGGUGAGGCAGCACAUAAUGGGGGAAGGGCCCAGCAGAGGAAUGUUGCUCCCCUUAUGGCAGCAAGGAGGCAGAGAGAAGGGGAAAGGGGCUGUGUGGAAGAUAUAUCAUUCCAGGGUACUCCCUCAGUGACCCACUUCCUUCAGGCAUGAUCUAUCUGCCUGUAGUUACCACCCAGUCAUUCAAAGUAGGAUGGGCUAAUCAGAUUUCAGCUCUCAUAAUCUAAUCACUUACCUCUGAAAAUUCCUGCAUUAACAGGAGCUUUGGGGGAGGAUUUAUGGACUAUAACCUUACAGAUAAAUUAAAAUGGAUUCUUUCAUCAAAAUGUAUUUAGUGUACUCUGUUAGGGAACUGUGCUAUAUAGUACUCAAAGGUGCUGCAGAGGUGACAGAAGAAGUAGAAUCAUAAAAAUUACAAAGUGGGGAGGGCAUACAUUACAAGGGGCUCAUUAUUACUGGAGAAUGAGCAAGGUGAGGCUUGAUUAGAAAUGAAAAUUGAGAGCUGGGGUUGUGGCUCAAUGGUAGAACUCUUGCCUAGCACAUGUGAGGCACUAGGUUCGAUUCUCAGCACCACGUAAAAAAUAAAAUAAAGGGAUUAUGUCCAUUCACAACUAAAAAAAAAAGAAAGAAAGAAAGAAAGAAACUUGAUAUGUAGGCAAAGACCAGAUGCUAAUUGAAGACUUUAAAAGGUGUGAACUUUAGGAAAUAAGGAGGAAGCAUAGUAGGGUGACAUAGUAGUCCAGACUUUGGGGCUUAGGAACUUGGAUUCACUGCUGCUUAUAUAACUGUGUUAUAUUGGACUAGUUAAAUUCUCCUAGCUUGUUGUGAGGAGUUGUAAAACAGUACCUAGUGUAUAGUAAGAGUUAUAUAAAUGUUUGUUGAAUAAAUAAAUAAAUAAAAAUAGGCUGGUGAAGGGUUGUUGUAAGUAGAGAAGUGAUAUUGUCAGAUUGUAUUUUAGGUAGAUGACCAUAGGAUCUAUAUAGUGGAUAGAUGUUAAUAGACCAAGACUGGGUUUAGUGAGACCUGCUGAAAUUAGUGCAUGUAAGAGAUUAUGUGAGGUAUGGUAGUGUGGUAAAGAUAAUACACAAGAAGAGUAAUUCAACAAAUAUUGAGGAGGCAGGACAAUGGAGUUGAUUAGAUAUAGGGGAUGAAAGGAGUUGCAAGGUUGAUUCCCACAUAUGGUAUUACUUAUAACAUUUUAAAAGAAAUAUUCUUUGAAGAACUUUGGAUCUUUGAUGUAAUCUUUGAUAGUGAUAUUUGACAACUAAGGCCUGAGAUAGUUUUUAAUCUCUCUAAUUUAUAGCCCUUGCUACUUUUCUUGUAGGUGGAAGUAAUUUCUCUUUAAGGACAUAGCAUUAUGAUGAAGACUCAUUUGGCCCAAGUCUAAAAAUCCAAAAAGCUUGAAUAAUGGUUCUAUUGUAUUGUGUUUAUAUUUUUAUUUUGAGAAUUGUGAUUAUAAAGAUAAUAGCACCAGGGUAAUACUGUUAAUUUUGAAGUAACUGCUGAAUUAUUAAAGACAUUAAGGGAUUGGGGGUUUAGCUCAGUGGCAGAGUGCUUGCCUAGUAUGCUAAAGCCUUGGGUUUGAUUUUCAUUGCUUAAAAAAGAAAAGAAAAUUUGUUCCAUUGUAUUCAAGUUUUUUCAUUAAAUUUCAAUAUUCUCAUUACCUAUUCACUUGUGGAUAAAUCUUAGCUCCUAACUUUAAAAAGAUAUUUCUCUUACCAUUCAGUUUUGUGGGAAGGGGAAAAAAAUCUUGAUUGAAAUUGGACAAUUUGAGCUUUCUUAAAUUUGCAUUUUCUGUAGAUUCUUAAUAAAAUGAUGAAGUGGAUAGGAAGUCAGUGGACUUUUAGUAUUUAAAAUCUGUAUCUUGAGUUGUGGCAUAUAUUGUAUAUAAUAUCUGUCACUUAGGCUAUUGUGGGGCCCAUCAGAUCUCCUCAUUAAAGACAUUUGAGAGGUGAUAUUUAAACUGAAUCUUGAAGAAUGCAUAAUUGGUAUGGCCAUGGGAGAAGGUCAUUUCAGGUAGCAGGAAUAGCAACACAGGCAGAAAAACAUGCAAAAAUCGUAUGUGCUGGUAAGUAGAUGGGAUUAUAGAAUAUGAGAUUGAAUAGGUACAUGAACCAAAAUUAAACAAAACAAAACAAAACCUUGUACAUUAUGUUCUGUGUAGCUUCUAAGUGAUUUGAAAAUCUUUAAAGUUCAAGCGAAAGCAGACAUCAUUGAAUAUGUGUUGUAGAUAAAUCAUGUGGGUAGCAAUGAGGAACGUAGGUUGAAGUUUGGAGGUUACUUCGACUUUUUCAGGAGAGAAUGAUGAGUGCUUGAAGUAAGAUUGUUGAUGUUGACUGAGAAUGGUUUAGGAUGUAGAAUUGUGAAUGAGUUGUGAAAUGGGAAGACAGAAAUUUAGAUAAUUCAGGUUUAUAUAAUGUGUGGAGAAGCAUAGUAGGGUGACUAAGAGUCCAGACUUUGGGGCUGGAGUGUCUAAGUAGAAUUAAGAAAUUGGGUAUAUUAGCUGUAGAAGAGAGGAAGAGGAGGAGUUGUGUAGGAUAUUACAUAAAGCAGCCUAAAAAUUUUGCUGAACUACAGUUCUCAAGUCACUUUUUUUUCCCCAAAACUUAUCACCAGCUUUUUUUUUUUUAAAAGAGAGCGAGCGAGAGAGAGAAUUUUAAUAUUUAUUUUUUAGUUUUCGGCGGACACAACAUUUGUUUGUAUGUGGUGCUGAGGAUCGAACCCAGGCCGCACGCAUGCCAGGUGAGCGCGCUACCGCUUGAGCCACAUCCCCAGCCCCUUAUCACCAGCUUUUUACUGUCUUUAAUGAGCAUAUGUAUGUGAAAAUGCCAGGGGCAUAAUGGCAAAACAUGGUAUAUUUAAUAGAUGUUAGUUUAAUUCUAAAUGAGUUAAGACAUUCGUGUCUUGGCUUACGUUUUCAGCCUUUUUCUUCUUGCCUGCCAUAUCUCCUGUAAUUCAGCUUUCACUCUAUUCCCUUUCCCUUGUAUAUUCUUCAUAUCUGAAUACCAGAGACUGCUUUUCAAGGCAACCAUUUCUAAUUUUUCCUGCCUGGAAAAAACUUCCUUUUCUUUGUUUCAUGUUAUGCUUCUUUGUUCUAGCUAUGUAAAAUAUUUUAUCUCAUGUAGUAAAUGAGUUAAUGCAUUUAAAGAGACUAGGGACAGUACAUAGUAAGUGCUUAGUAAAUGUUGUUUGUUAUUAUGAUGCUGAUAAAGAUGAUUAAAAUGAAAUGUUGAGCCACGCACAGAAUACCUAUAAUCCCAGCUACUUAAGAGUUCCAGGCCAGCCUCAGCAAUUUAGUGAACCCCUGUCUCAAAAUAAAAAUGUGGAUGGGGAUGUAGCACUCCUGGAUUUUCAAUCCCAAAUAUUGGGGGGUAAGAGGGGAGAGAAAUUAAGAUAAUACUACUAAAGUUUACCUUUACUUUCUACCUUCUUGAGACAGUGAUUUGUUUUCCGUCCCUGGACACUAGAAAAGCAGUGUCUUUGGGUGUGUGUGUAAAAGCAUAAAAAAAAUAUUGUCUUUAUACCACUUUCCUGUUCCUGAGCUAUAUUGAGUAUGUCUGAGGAUAGAGGGUAGACAACCCCUUAAUGUUGAUGGUUUCCCUAAGCCUCACCACAAUUAUUUAGGACAGGUUACUACUAUUAGCCCCUUUUCAUGAAUGGAUGGAUGAACUUUUUAAAAAGUUUGAAGAUUGGCUCAAGGUCACAUAGUUGGUGAGUGGCCAUGAUUUUAGUUGUUACAGCUGCUGAUGCUGGGGAUGAGACCCAUGUCCUCACACAUGUGAGGAAAAUGCUCUACAACUGAGGUACACUCGCAGCUCCCAGAAUAUUUGUAUCUUAAGUAUUAAAUUCUACACAGUAGGGCCUCAAAAAUCUAGGACUUAAUUUCAUCAAUACUUGUACCCAACUCUGCUGGAGAUUAAACCUGGAGCCUGAACUACUGAGCUAGCUGCUCAGACAGACUGACCCUCAUCUUCUUUUCCUUUGUUAGUUCCUUCCUUCUCUCUCUCCCCCAUCACUUCCCCCUCCCUCCCUUUCAUGAUAGUAGGGAUUGAACCUAUGGAAGUCGUACCACUGAGCUACAGCCUCUGGAGUAGCUGGGAUUACAGAGGUGCCACCAUGUCUGCGUGGCUCAUCAGUGCUUUCAUAUGAUUUCCAUAUUCAAUUUGUUACCUGUCAGAGGGCCAGUAAUGGGAACUGUGCUACAUACUUCAGAACUUUUUUUUUUUUAAAGAAAUGAAGCAUUAUUACAGUUACUAUUGAUGUCCCUUUUAUACUUUUUUUCCAAACCUGUUUCCUCCCAGUUUGCCUGUAUCCCAUUGUUUCUUGUUUUUUUUUUUUUUUUGGUACUGAGGAUUGAACCCAGGGGUGCUUAAUCAUUGAGCCCUUUUUAUAUUUUAUUUAGAGACAGAAUCUCACUGAGUUACUAAGUGCCUCACUAAGUUGCUGAGGCUGGUUUUGAACUCAUGAUCCUCCUGCCUUAGCCUCUCAUGUUCCAUGUUUUUAUUGUGUGUGUGUGUGUGUGUGUGUGUGUGUGUGUAUCCAUCCAUAACUACAGUUGGUAAUGCUUUGUAGAUUUUAUGUGUUAUCUUGUUUUUUUCACAACAAUUUUUUUUUUUUUGGUAUGGGGGCAUUCUGUUAACACUGAGCUAUGUCCCCAAAUUUUUUUCUAUUUUGAGACAGGGUCUCACAGAGUUACCCUGCUAAGUUGUUGAGGUUGGCCUCAAACUUUCUAUCCUUCUGUCUCAGCCUCUGGAGUUUGUAGAAUUACAGCAUGCACAACCACACCUGACCACAACAAAAUGUUUUCUAAAUAUGUUCUUGAUAUAUAGGAUCAAGUUUAUUGUGUUGUAUUAUUCAUUAUAUGUGAUUAUGCCCUAAUUUCUUUGUAGUUAGACAAUAGAAUGAGGUAUUUAGAUUAAAACUUUUCACCAUUACAGUGCUACAAUGAACAUAAGAAAGUAAUUCUCAGAUGAGAUUAUAUAAUUCAUUUUUGCAUUGCAGAAUUCAUCCUGAGGUUAAUUUAAUAAAAUGUGAUUUUUAAUAAUUUUUAUCUUUUGAUUGAGGAAAGAGAAUGGACAAUACUUUUGGCACCACUUUUAGACUGUGAAUUCCUAAACUUAGUUCCUUUGUCUUCUGUUUUCUUGACCAUUCAAAUAACCUAUGUUUUUUAGUACUUUAGCCAUAGGCUGCAUACUGGCAACCUAUAGGCCAGACUCAGCUUGUAAAUAUAUUUCUUUUGGACUUGUAUAGUUAAAUUUUUUUUGAACCAACAUUUAGAAGUUAGCUAUUUUGCAUAAAAAUCUACUUUUGGAUUAUUCUAAAAAUCUGGAAACAAUAAUAGUCCCAAACUGAAUCACAGUUACUCUAUUUUAGAUGAGAAUAACCUUUUCAGUGAAACAAACUUCUGUCAUUCCCUGAUGCUUUUUUUUAAUAUAUAUGUUUUAGUUGUCAACAGGCCUUUAUUUUUUAUUUAUUUAUAUGUGGUGCAGAGCAUCAAACCCAGUGCCUCACAUACGCUAGGCAGGUGCUCUGCCGCUGAGUCACAAUCCCAGCUCUUCCUGAUGCUUUUUAUCGUAGUACUUGUACUGUCUAUAGUGAUAAAUAAUUCCCUACUGAUAAUGUCUAUCAAAAAUGAAAAAUAUAUAGCUAGGCAGAUGUAGUAUUCUACUAAAAAGUAGAAGAGAACCUAUUUCUUUGAAAGUGAAAAAUAUUUUAACAUGUAAACAAAAUGAGUCAUGUAUGGAAAGAUUACAGCCUUGCCUCUUUUACUUAAAUUAUAUUUGUCACUUGUAUUUUUCUAUAGACAGUAGUUUAUGAUCUUUGUGUUUUACAUGUGUGGCUAUUGGGCUGCCCCGCAGCAUAGUUGGAGGUUUACAAUAUGAAAACAAUUUGUAAAUCAUGAAGUUCUGUGCACAUGCAAGGUAUUUACCUGUUCUUUUAUCUGUUAUGUCUACCCUUGGUCUAGAAAGGCCUUUAGCAAAAGAAUUAAAAACUUUUAUAAUCUCAGCCAUCCAUCCUGUCAGCACUGUAUGCAUCAACUACUUUGAGACCACAAAUGAGUGGUCCAGGAUUUAGAUUGUAAAUAUGGUUUUGUUUGUCUGACAGCAUAGUAACUUUGGGUUUUGAGUACUGGGUAUUGAACCCAGGGCCUUGCAUAUGCUAAGCACUUAAUGUCACUGAUCUGUACCUCCAGCCCCAAUAAUUUUUUUUUUUUUUUAAUUGAACUUACUUUGAAAACCAGGGCUUUUCCAGUGUAUUUUUUUUUAUAUUGUUGUCCAUGGACCGUUGUUGCUAGGCAAGUGCUCUACCACUGAGCCACAGCUCCAGCCCCUCCAUCGUAUUAUUUCUGAGUCACACCUUUACCUUUUUAGUCUCUAUUUAUAUGUGCCGCCAAAGCAGUCACCCUCGUUAGUCUCUCUAUAUUUGAUUUGUAACCCCUUACUUAAGAUAUAUUAUAAGAUAUAUAAAACUAUAAAAUACUACAGAUUAAAAGUGAAGAGAAAAGAAAGACUAAAAAAAACAAAGGGUAAGGGGAAAUGGAACCAGGAACCAGGAUCUAGACCAAAAAGGUAUUUCAGUUUUCUUCCUAUAAGCAGAUCACUGAUUUUUUUUUUAAUAUUUAUUUUUUAGUUGUAAAUGUGCUGAGAAUUGAACCCAGUGCCUCAUACUUGCUAGGCAAGUACUCUACCCCUGAGCAACAACCCUAGCCCCAAGAGAUCACUGAUUUAAAAAAAAAAAAUUUUUUUUUUAGUUGUAGAUGGACACAAUACCUUUAUUUAUUUAUUUUUUUUAUAUGAUGCUGAGGAUUUAACCCAGUACCUCACACAUGCUAGGCAAGUAAGUACUUCAUCCCUAAGCUUCAGGGAUGACUCUGAGCUUUCUAGGAGCUAACAGGAAGGAGAGGGGGAGGUUAUUUUUCAGUUCCUUAAGAUUAAAACAACAACAAAAAACAGUUCAGAAAGAUAACUAGCCACUUGAUGCUAGAAUUUUCCUUAGGGUUCCUCAUAAAGGGGAUUAUGUUGUAAUUAUAAUUUUUAUUGUUUCUUUUUCAACAUAUCUAAUAUUUCCCAGGCUGGCCUCCAAUUCCUAGGCUCUAGGGUUCCUUAUGCCUCAGCCUCCUGAGUAGGUGGGACUAUAGGCAUGUGCUACUGUGCCCAGCUCAGUUUUUGAUAUGUAUUGAGAUUCCUUCUUGGCACGAUUGUGAAGUAUGGAUGUUAUAUACAUAUUAUACAGACUAUUCAUAUGUAGGAUUUAAAUUCUUUUGUGAAAACCUAGUGGUAUUGCUACCCCCGCCAUACUGGGGAUUGAAUCCAGAGUCUCACACACACUAGACAAGCACUCUACCAUUGAGGUACAUUCUUGUCUUUCUCCUCUAGUUUGAAGGUGUGUAAAACAUAACUCUGAAGUAUCCAAAAGAAAGUAUCCAUUAAGAAAAAGGUUUAAAGAAAAAGAGGGUCAGGAUACAACCUGAUUUUAUGCAGAUGAAAAUGAAUUGCUUUUCCAUGAUUCUGGACUCAUACUGGUUUUCAGCACAGAUUAAAUUUAAGGAGGUACAAUUUUUAUUCAUAUCUGUAAUGGAUAGGCUCUGCCCCUUUUCUCUUCAGUUGUGCUCAGGAUUUACCUUUAUUUAGAAAGAAGUAAGAUUUUUCGUUUUCUCUGAUGUAAGGUGACUGACUCAUAGUGGGGUAGGGAGGUGGGGAGAAUGGGAGGAAGAGACAAACUUUAGAUAGGGUGGAGGGGUGGGAGGGGAAGGGAGGGGGCAGGGAAUUAGCAAUGACAGUGGAAUGUGAUGGACAUCUUUAGCCAAAGUACAUGUAUGAAGACACAAAUUGCUGUGAACAUACUCAAUAUACAACCAGAGAUGUGAAAAAUUGUGCUCUGUAUGUGUAAUAUGAAUUGUAAAGCAUUCUGCUGUCAUUUAUUUAAAAAAAUCAAAUAAAAUUUAAAAAAGAUUUUUCUUUCACCCUACUAGAACUGUAAUUCUUGUUGUCAUUAUUGCUGAACCUCUUGAAUUCAUAUUUUGAAAAAAAAAUUUUUUUAAUUGUAGAUGGACACAGGACCUUUAUUUUAAUCUAUUUUUUAGGUGGUGCUGAGGCUCGAACCCAGUGCCUCACAUAUGCUAGGCAAGCGCUCUACCACUGAGCCAUAACCCCAGCCCCGAAUUCAGAUUUUUUAAAAAUAUGUUUUUAGUUGUUGAUAGACCUUUAUUUAUAUGCUGUGCUGAGAACCCAGUGGCUCACACAUGCCAGGCAAGUGUGCUACUGCUGAGCCAUAGCCCUAGCCCCCGAAUUCAGAUUUUUUAAAAAAAAGUUAAUUUUUUACUUUUUAAAUUUAUUUUUUAUUUUUUUAGUUGUCGGUGGACCUUUGGUUUAUUUAUAUGUGGUGCUGAGAAUCGAACCCAGUGCCUCACACAUGCUAGGCAAGUGUUCUACCAUUGAGCCACAAUCUCAGCACCCCCCCAAAAGGUUUUUUAAUCUUUCAGUUUAUAGUGCUGACUUGGUCAGUCCCUCGGCUUAUAUUAUAUUUCUUUUAUCACCUCCUUUCCCAAUUCACUCUACUAGAUCAUGUGUUCCUUUGGUGGAUUGCAUUUUAUCUUCACUUAUAACUUCAUGGCACAGAUCCUAGCAAGAAAGAUAAUGGUAAUCAGUGAAUGAAUACAUUUAGCUGAUGUCUUUACAUUGUACAUUUUUUAGGACCAGGAUCUCUUUAACAUUACUUUUAAGUUCCAUGUCACUUUCUGUAGAUAAACAUGUUUGUUGACUAUGUUCUAGGCUGCUUGGGACACAUAUAUUUUGUUUAGUUUGAAUGCUGAGUACUUCAUAUAUCCUUGGUAAAUAAAUUGAAAAAAGUGACACUGGUAGUUAUUUCUAAAUUACUUGCUUCAGUGGAAGUGGAUAGUAAAAAACUUGAAGUCAGUUGAGGGAUCACAAUGCCUGUUUUCUGUUGGGUUGUCAUAACUUAUGGGCACAUGUGCUUAAAUGUAAACAGGAGAUUUUCUUUUAAGAACAAGAUUAGAACCUAGAAAAAGCCAUUUCAUGACCAAGAGCAAGCCAAGCAUGGUGGAGCACAUCUGUAAUCCUAGAAGCUCAGGAGGCUUAGACGGGAGGAUCACAAGUUCAAAGUCAACUUCAGCAACUUAGUGAGAUCUUGUCUCAAAAACAAAACAAAACAAAAAACCACAAAAUAAGCUGGGCAUGUGGCUCAGUGGUAAGCGCCCUGAGUUCAAUGCCUGGCACCCCCCCAAAAAAAAAAAAAAAAAAGAUCAAGAACAAGUUGGGUAUGGUGCAUGUAUGUAAUUCUAACUGUUUGGGAGACUGAGGCAGGAGGUUGCAAGUUAAAGAACCUGGGCAACAUAGUAAGAUCUUGUCUCCAAAUAAAAAUAAAAAGGACUGGACUAGCUCAGUGGCAAGAGUGCUUGCCUAGCAUUUUUGAGGCCCUGUGAAAAAAAAUGAGAAGACCAAGAGCAAACAGUGGAAAUGUUAAAAAAAAAAAAUCCAUCUUUAUAUAAUUGCAGUUUGACCAUGAAUCUAUUCAGAUCAUUACUAUUACUUCCAACCUAGUCUAGGCCUCUGUCAGCUACCACCAGCCCCCCUUUCUUUUUUCCUUUUGAUACUGGGGACACAGCAACACUCACAUAACCACAGAGCCACAUCCCUAGCCCUUUCUUUUAGUUUUUAUUUUGAGACAGGGUCUUGCUAAGUUGUUUAGGGUCUUGCUAAGUUGCUGAGGCUGGCCUCAAACUUGUGAUCCUCCUGCCUCAGCCUCCUGAGUCAGCCCUCCUCUUUAAUAUAUCCUGUGCCUUAAUCUCCAGAACAUUUACCAUGAAACACUAAUUUCAGAACAUUCCUCCCUGUGUAAGAAUUUCAGUGAUUUCUGCAUUGUCAUAAUUUCUUUAGCUAUCCACUUUAGAAUGCACCAUUACUUUAUAGUUUAAAAGCAAACAAAACCAGUCCUACCUGUAAUCUCAGAUACUUAGGAGGCCAGGGAAGAGGAUUGCAAAUUUGAGGCCAAUCUUGGCAACUUAGCAAAACCCUAUCUCAAAAUAAAUGAAAAGGGCACCCUUGAGUUCAAUCCCUCGUACCAUAACAAACAAACAAAAACCACAAAACAAGGCACACAGAAACAGUUGUCUCCUGUUGUUUGUAUGAUGCUUGGAAGUGUUUAGUAAGUUUUUUCCCUCAUGUUUUAAACCAGUGAGUUUUUUAAAUUUUAGUUUUUAGUUGUAGAUGGACACAAUACUUUUAUUUUAUUCACUUAUUUUAUUUUUUUUAAUAUUUAUUUUUUAGUUGUAGUUGGACAAUAUUUUAUUUAUUUUAUUUUUAUGUGGUGUUGAGGAUUGAACUCUGGGCCUUGCACAUGCUAGGUGAGCACUCUACCACUGAGCCCCAGCCCCAGCCCUUAUUAAUUUAUUUUUAUGUGGUGCUGAGCAUUGAACCCAAUACCUCACACAUGCUAGGCAAGCGCUGUACCACUGAGCCACAACCCCAGCCCCCAGUAUUUGUUGUUGUUGUUACUUAGUUUUGAUGAAAACAAAACAGAAUUACAGUACCAUUCUAUUGUCACUUGAAAAUGUAGCAUUUGCAGUAUGUAUAUCAACCCCUACCUUCUGUACCCCACCCACUGUCUCCCACCCCCUGGGGAUGGAACCCAGGGCCUUAUGCAUGCUAAAUGAGUACUAUACUUGCCACUGAGCUACAUCUCCAGUCCUAAAAAUGUAACCUUUGUAAGUGGAAACUGGAGCAUAAAAAAGGUCUUAAAUUUUUUUUUUUAAAUAUUUAUUUAUUUAUUUUAAUUCUCGGCGGACACAACAUCUUUGUUUGUAUGUGGUGCUGAGGAUCGAACCCGGGCCGCACGCAUGCCAGGCGAGCGCGCUACCGCUUGAGCCACACCCCCAGCCCCAAGGUCUUAAAUUUUUGAAGUUUUAGUCUGGAGAUAGCUUAUUGAUUUGUGUGGAAGAUUUAAAAAUUGGUAUAUUUUCUUUAACAUAUAUUGAUUAGUGUUACUCUUUAAAAAGAAAAAGAUUACAUCAAAAUCAGCCCCGAACCUGAACCGGGCGCUGGGGUUGCGUGCCUGUAAUCUCAGUGGCUUGGGAGGCUGAGCAAGUUCAAAGCCAGCCUCAGCAAUUUAGGGAGGUCCGAAGCAACUCAAGUGAGACCCUAUCUCUAAAUAAAAUACAAAAGGGCUGGGGAUGUUGCUCAGUCUCAAACUGCUGAGCUUAGGUGAUCCUCCUGCUUUAGCCUCUCAAGUAGGUGGGACUACAGGCUUGUGUUAUCAUGCCUGCUGGAAAAAUGCUUUUUGAAGUUCAGCUUGGCUUCUUUUUUAAAAAUAUAUAUAUAUUAGUUGUCAAUGAACCAUUAUUUUAUUUAUUUAUAUGUGGUGCUGAGACUGGAACCCAGUUAAGUGCCCCUGGGUUCAAUCUCUGGUACAAAAAAUUUAAAAUAAAAUCAGCCCCAAGUAGCUGGACUUUGAUAUAUCUUAUCGCCUACAUUUCAGAAUUUUGGCUUUUUUUUUUUUUUUUUUUUAAUUUUUAUUGUUGGUUGUUCAAAACAUUACAUAGUUCUUGACAUAUCAUAUUUCACACUUUGAUUCAAGUGGGUUAUGAAGCUUUUUUUAUUUUUAAAAAAGAAUGAGAAUAAAGUGAUAAAGUAUCUAUUUUCUGAGAACAGUUUAGUAUUUUUAAAGCUUUAAAUAUAUAUUUUUUUAGUUGUAGAUGGACACAAUACCUUUAUUUCAUUUGUUUAUUUAUUUAUGAUGCUGAGGAUUGAACCCAGUGCCUCAAACAUUCUAGGUAAGCCCUGUACCAACCACUGAGCUACAACCCGAGCCUGAGAAUAGUAAAUUUUGAUCUCAGUUUUACUGUGAUGCUUGCAGUAGUCAUUUAGAAAUACUAGAUACCUACUGAAUACUAAUUAUCAUGAAUUUAUUUUAGAGAUACAAAGAAAAAUAUGUCAGAGUUGCAGCUUUGGAGGAAAGUUGUUGCAGAGACAACAUCACAGCAGAUAAUUACAGUGUAGUGUGAGAAGUGUUAAGUAUGUGUAUGUACAAAGUACUAUGAAAUCACAGAAGAGGGAGUUGCUCUAUUUGCUUAAUUUUUUUUUUGUCAAAACUGUGUUGAAAUGGUAAAUAAAACGCUUAAGUUCUGCUUUAUGUUAGUGGCUGAGAAUUUAUCUAAUACUGUUUAAAUAGGAUUAAUAAGUAUUAGAUUGAAUGUAUGGGAUUGUCAUUGUUGGCAGUUUUCUAGGAUUUAACCCUAGUAGUAUUUAUUUAAAGCUUUGAAUAUUGGAUAAUUAGGCUAUUUAUUUUACUUUAUUUUUUGAAAUAGUGUCUUGCUGUGUUGCCCCAGCUAAUCUCAAACUACUGAGCUUAGGCGAUCCUCCUGCUUUAGCCUCCCAAGAAGGUGGGACUAUAGGCUUGUGUUACCAUGCGUGCUGCAAAAGUGUGUGUGUGUGUGUGUGUGUGUGUAUUGUAGUUGCCAAUGGAGCAUUAUUUUAUUUAUUUAUAUGUGGUGCUGGACUGGAACCCAGUGCCUCACACAUUAGGCAAGUGCUGUAGCAUUGAGCCACAACCCUAGCCUUUGGUUCUGUUUUUAAGGUGACGUGUAUAAAAUAAUUUUAUUAACUGUAAAGUGCAAUGUUAUCAUAAGCUAUUAUAAUUGUUUGUAACUGUGGAAAUAAGUUAUUCAAUUUGGGGAGUCUUGAUUUUGAAGUUUGAUUUCUUAAGACAUUUAUUGAAUGCCAUUCAUGUUGCCUAGCACUACAGAUUCAAAAUUGAAUCCAAUGUAGUGUAUAGUAUGGCCUGUAUAUAGUUACAAUGAAUGUGGGAGGUAGCACAGUGCAGAACCAGUGAUUUUUACAAUGUAUCUUAACAGAAGUAUAUCUCCAAAAAAUGUAUUCAGAAGCCCAGUGUGUAAAUAUAAAAAUGGAAAUCUUGGGGCUGGGGAUAUGGCAGCAGUGGUAGGAUGCUUGCCUGGCAUGUGUGAGGCCCUGGGUUUGAUUCCCAGUACCAGUCUCUGAAGUCUUAGGUAGGUAAUAAGUAGUUUCGCCUAAGAUUCAAGUUAAUAGGGCUGUUGCUCAGAUAAAUUACAGGUACAUACAUUUUCUUUGGAUUUUUGAAAGAGGUAAAAAGGAAAGCUGAGAAAUCAUAAUUGGAUAUUUUUCUACCUUAAGAGUAAAAGAUUUUUCCUUGUUAAUGGAUUAUUAGGCAAAACAUUUCAGUGUUAAAAGCUAAGAAAAUAAAUGGGUAUUAAAAUGGAAGGGAAGCUGGGUGUGUUAGUGCACACCUAUAAUCCUAGCAGCUCAGGAGGCUGAGACAGGAGGAUCGGAAGUUCAAAGCCAGCCUCAGCAAUUUAGUGAGGCCCUAAGUAACAAAAAAUAAAAAGGGCUGGAGCUGGGGCUGGGGCUCAGUGGUUAAGCACCCCUGGGUUCGAUCCCUGGCACCAAAUAUAAAUAAAAAGGAGGAGAUAGAAAACUACAAGUGGAGUGUGUGUGUGUGUGUGUUGUGUGUGUGUGUGUAUGUAUGUAAAAUCCAGUAGCACUUUGUGUGUGUGUGUGUGUGUAUGUAGCACUUACUAUGUAGUAAGUCCUGUCCUAAGCAUUUUUCUUAUAUUUAUUUAAUCUGCUUGACAGUCCUGUGAAAUAGAUACUAUUAUUAUUAAAGUAGCUGUAUUAGAUAUGGGUUUGCACACUGUGGCUAGUAAAUCAAAUCCUGCUUGCCACUUGUUAUUAUUUCAAUUUGGAAAGUUAGCCCAAGCCCUUAUCCAUGGUAGGAAAGUGCUCUAUCUCUGUGCUACAUACCCAGCCCAACCACCUGUUUUUAUAUGGCCUGCAAGCUAAGAAUGGUUUUUAUAAUUUUUAAUGGUUAAAAAGCAUAAAAAGGGAAAUAAUAUUUUGUAAAAUUCUUUUGGUAAAUUAAUAAUUUUAAAAAAUACUUGAAAUUUGAAUUUCAGUCCAUAAAGAUUUAUGGAACAGACGCAAACCUUUUCCUUUAUACAUUGUUUAUCGUUGUUUUCUUACUACAGAGGCAGAAUUGAGUAGUUGCUAAUAGAAACUGGAUAGCCUGCAAAACCUAAGAUACUAUCUAGGUGUUUGGGGACUUGUUGACUCCUGCUUUAAAUAUAAAUGGGAGAGAACACAAGAUAAAAAGCACCAAAGUUAAUAUAGAUGCAAAAAAAUGUGUCUUUAUUAGGAUGACCAAGAAGACUAGAUAGUUACAGAACUAAUAAGCUAGUUACAGUUUCUUAUUAAAGGAUUUUUUUGAAGCCUUAUAAAGCUCAAUUAUAAGGAAAUAUUGCUUAUUAUUUCCAAAAGUUUGCGUGUCAUCUUUUUCUUAAUAUCAUCUGUUCAUGGUAUAUCUGAAGGGUUUUAUAAACAUUUCUUUGAAUUUUAAUGACGUUUGUUGUAAUUACUAUUGAAAUUUCAGUACCAUGGCCUCCUAUUUUGAUUUUUUAUUUGGGUAACUUCUUUGUGGUGUUGGGAAUCAUAUUUAGGGCCUUGCACUUGCUAGGCAAGUACUCUACCGCUGAACUAUGUCCCCAGAUAACAUUUUCUGACUUCGAUGAUUUCUCGAUUUUCCCUUCUCUGUAAUUUUUUUGAUUUUGACCCUUUAGUAUUAGCUAUAAGUGAGAUUGCUGACUUUAUGGUUCUCUAGUGAGGAUAUGCAUCAAAAUCACCUAAAGAAAUAUUAAAAAUUCAUAUGCCUCUUCAGAAACUCUGAGAAUGAAACAUAAUCAUGAUUAUUUUCAGAAAGUUCCCUAGGUAACUCUGAUACACAUUCCUAGUUAAAAUCCACAGUUUAGCAAAAAUCUGAUCUGAAGAAACAACAUAGGUGGCUUUUACUGUUAUUUCCCAGAGGUGUUUUCCAGCCUAAAGAAUUAUUGCCUAAUUUGAUGUAACUGGCAGAGAUUAUCAAUACUGGUUUGGUGAAUUAGCUCUUUUGAUAUCACUCAAUUAGUAGUUUAAUAGAAUCCAAGUUAGAAGUUUGAUUGUAAGUCGUAUAAUUUAUCUACAAUCUCUAAAAUCAUAUUUAAACAACAAAUGUUUGCUUUUUUUCUACAUUCCCUUCCAUUAUUUAUUUAUGGCCAUGUACAUUUGUAUCAUACAGAACAAUUGGUUUGAGAUUUAAAAACAUUAGAAAAAAACUGAACACAACAAAAUCUAAAAUCAGAAUUCAGUUUCUUUGGAAACUUCAGAUGUUUAAAAUGGCUUCAUGCUGCUGAAGUCAGAGAAGAAGGGGGACACUUCUCCUUUUUUGGGAUUAUGAAAAGGUAGUCUUUUGAGCAUCUAUCCACAAAUAAACCUAGCUCUAUUAUUUGUUGCAGGCUGAGAAGCAGUUUUUUACAUUUUGAUACCCCUUAAAGGCGUUAAUUUGCCUGAAGCAGUACCCAGAGAGCAGAGUUUAAGCAGUAUGAAAGUAUUCUUUGCAAGACUUGUGACAGGCUAAAACUAUAUAAAUAAAAGGUCCUGUAUUACACACAGCCAGAGAUAAUAUGCAUGUGUGUGUGUGUGUGUGUGUGUGUGUGUGUGUGUGUGNGUUCCAUUGAGUCCCUCUACUGAUUAAAACAAAAUAAAACUUAAAAAAAAUUUUUUUUAGCUGUUGAUAGACCUUUAUUUUAUUUAUUCAUAUGUGGUGCUGAGAAUCACAUCCAGUGCCUCAUACAUGCCAGGCAAGUGCGCUAGUGCUGAGCCAUAGCCCAGCCCCAAAAUAAAACUUUUAUUAUGGAAAAUGUCACACCCAUAGACAAAAUUAGAAAAUAACGUAAUAAAUUUUCAUAAUUCUUAAAUAUCAUGAGAUAUUUCAUCAGUACUCUAAUUUCCCCAAAUCUUUGUCUAUUGGUUUCUUUAUUUUAUAAUUUGUUUGGGUCUAGAUAUAAAUAUGGUCUAUAUAUCACGAUUUUUAGAUGUGUCAUUUGUCUAUUGUUUUAAAAAAUAUUUUUAAAGUUCUGGAUGGACCUUUAUUUUAUUUAUUUAUAUGUGGUGCUGAAAAUCAACCCAGUGCUUCACACAUGCUGAGCAAGUGAUUUACCACCGAGCCACAAUCCCAGCUCUUCACUUGUCUGCUUUAAAUACAUAGGGCUGGGCUAUGGUAUAACUCAGCAGUAAAGUACAUGAUCCCCAGCACUGAAAAAUCCUUUCCAUCCCUUUUUCUUUCUUUGGAAUUUGAAGAAAUUGGGUCAUUUGCUUUAUAGGGUUUUUCAUAGUCUAGCUUUUGCUGAUUGUAUCCCCAUUGUGUCUUUAACAUAUGUCCGCUCUGCUUCUUGCAGAUUGAUAGUUGAAGGCAGAUGCUUAAUCAGAUUCAGAUUUGAUUUUGUGGCAGUAAUAUUUCAUAGAUGGUAUACUGUUUUUCUUUCACUGUACCAAUAUAAAUAUAGUUAUGUAGGUAUAACUAUAUAUAUCUAGUUAACAGUGUUGGUUAAUUAGCGAGUAAAAAUAGUGAUAUUAAAAAUUUAUCAUUUCUCCCGUGUCCUGUGUCUUUUUCUCUACCAUACUAAUUCAAAGUCAGCUUACUUUUUUUUUUUUUUUUGUGGUGCUGGGGAUUGAACCCAGGGCCUUGUUCAUACAAGGCAAACACUCUACCAACUGAGCCAUAUCCCCACCCCCUCCACCAUUAGUAUUCAACCAUCUAAUUUGGCUGAGAAAAAUAAUUACUUUUCAAUAUUUUCAUCAACUUCUAAAAUUUGUUUAUGGUACCAUCUUUACCCUACCCCUUCCCCUGUUUAAAUAUUGUUUCUGCCAUUUAAAAUAAUUUCCCUGCCAUUAAAAAAAAAAACAAACCUUUAAUUAUUUAUUUUUAUGUGAUGCUGAGGAUUGAACCCAGUGUACCUCAUACAUGCUAGGCAGGCACCCUCCCACUGAGCUAUACCCACAACCCCUCAUUUCUCUGCCAUUUUACUGAAUCAAUUUGUGUUAUUAGUGAGCUCUAUGAUGAAUACAGCCAAUCCACCUUAACCUUAUUUUGCUGGGUAAUUGGAUGGCUUUGGAUACUGUUGAUUGCCUCCCCUGGAAACACUACCUUGGCUUUUGUGACAUUCUCUCCUGAUUCAUUCAUUCAUUCAUUCUGAUUUGUUAUCUUGUAUUUCAAUUCAUAAUACACACAAAGAGCACAGUUUUUAAUGUCUCUGGUUGUACAGAGUCACGCCAUUUGUGUUUUCAUACAUGUACUUGGGGUAAUGAUGUCCAUCUCAUUCCAGUCUCUCUUUAUUUUUUGUGUAACCUUUUUUGUUCUCAGAACCAAUUGAAGAUUCUUUUUAAAAAAAUACAUUUAUUUAUUUAUUUUUUAUGUGGUUCUGAGGAUUGAACCCAGUGCCCCACAUUUGCUAGACAAGUGCUCUACCACUGAGCUACAAACCCCAGCCCAAUUGAAGAUUUUAAAUUUUGUUUUUGUUUUGCAGUGCUGGGGAAUCAUGUACGUUACUGCUGAGUUAUACCAUAGCCCAGCCCUACUUACAAAUUUUUUUUUCCUCGUGGUACUGGGGAUUAAACCUAGGGCUACUUUAUUGAACUACAUCCCCAGCCCUUUUUUAUUUUUUAUUUUGAGAUAAGAUUUCACUGCAUUGCUUAGGGCCAUUCUAAAUUGCUGAGGCUAGCCUUGAACUUGUACUCCUCCUGCCUUAGCCUCCUAAAUAUCUGGGAUUACAGGCGUGUGCCUCCUUACCCAGACAAAAAGUUUUUUGUUUUUGUUUUUUCCUGUCUGCCUGCCUGCCUGCCUGCCUUCUUUCCUUCUUCCUAUAUUUUUGUUUGGUGACACUGGGGAUUGGACCCAGGGCGCCAGCUACAUCCUAGCCCUAAUUGUAGAUAAGAUCUUAAGUAUUGGUGUUGCUGUCCCUGGUUCUAGGCUUGACCCUCUGCUCAACUUGCUCUGCAAAUUCUUCCUAGGUCAUCUCAACCAUUGCUAUGUCUCCAUUUACCACAUCUAAGUAAAAAUUGUCAAACCAUUUUAUUUUAGGUCAGUUCUCUUCAGAACUGGCUUGUUUGUACACCUUCCUAGUGGAAACUUCAGCUUUUAUUUUACUUGGAGGAUGAUUUCCUUUGGGGGGGAUGUGCUGUGGAUUGAACCCAGGGAUGCUUUACCACUGAGCCAUAUCCCCAGCCUUUUUAUUUAUUUAUUUAAUUUAAUUUAUUUUUUUUUUGAGAGAGAGAGAGAAUUUUAAUAUUUAUUUUUUAGUUUUCGGCGGAUACAACAUUUUUGUUUGUGGUGCUGAGGAUCGAACCCGGGCCGCACGCAUGCCUGGCAAGUGCACUACCGCUUGAGCCACAUCCCCAGCCCCCUUUUUAUUUUUUAUUUUGAGUCAGGGUCUCACCACGUUGCUCAGGACUUGGCUGCUCUUGAACUUGGGUUUCUCCUGACUCAGCCACCCAGUGUCACUGGGAUUACAGCUUGUGCCACCACACUAGUCCUACUGGUUUAAAGUGCCCCUGGUGACUGAAUUUUAUAUAUGCCAGAAGCCUGCUUAAAUAAAACCAUCUCAGAUACAUUUUCUAAAUCCAGUGGAAAUACCCUCUGUUUUUGUAUAACAAGACAAUCUUUUUUUAUCCCCUGCCCCCAGCUGGGGAUUAGAACAAGAUCCUUGCAUAUGCUGGGCUAGUACUCCACUACUUAGCUACACCCUCUCACCCCUUUUUAUUGUUUAAUUUUGAGACAGUGUCUUGCUAAGUUGCCCACCCAUACUGGCCUCACACUUGCUGUUUUCCUGCCUCAGCCUUCCAUGUAGCUGGAAUUAUUAAAUGCCACUGUGCCCAGUAUUUUUGUUUGUUUGUUUGUUUGUUUAUUAUUGGGGAUUGAACCCUGGGACACUUUACUGCUGAACCAAAUCCCCAGCCCUUUUUAUUUCUUUGACUUUGAGACAGGGUCUUACUAAGUUGCCUAGGACCUUGAACUUGGGGUCCUCCUGCCUCAGCCUUCUGAGUUUCUUGAAUUAUAGACUUGCACUCUUGGGCCCAGGUUUUUUUUUUUUUUUGGUACAGUCUUGUACUCCUGGGCUCUAGAAAACCUGCCUUACUUCUCAGUAGCCACGAGUAGAAGCACCCCUGUCCUAAAGAAUGAUUAUUUAUAAAAGAAUAUAAUUUCUUGAUUUUUCUCACAAAUUUACCUUAAUUUAGUUGAUUACUACUUUUUAGAUACAGUAUGGAAACUGACUUUAUGGUAUUAUAAGUGUAUCAAAUUAGGACUCUUGAAAUGUUAAGUAAUAUUAUCCAAAAGCUAGAUUAGAGGGAAGUGCUAUGUAAGCUUGAGAAUCUAGGGUAGUUCUUUCCUUCUUUUUUUUUUUUUUUUUUAAAAACACAUGCCUCUGAGGGACACAAAAUAAAAUGAAUUAAAUUUGUCUUUUGAUUUAAAUUGCAUUGGUUAAGAGAGCAUAAGAUUGCUAAGCAGUUUAUUUCCGUUAUAAAUACCAGCCAAUCUUAUGCUGUUAUUGGUGGCUAAUUGUUAAUCCUGAAGAUCACUUCAGUUAUGGCUGGCAUAAUUUGAUUUCUGUACAGUUUAUGAAAUCUUUAUCUCCAGGUUUAAAAAUAUAUAUUAUUUUAGUUAUUGAUGGACCUUUAUUUUAUUCAUUUACAUGGGGUGCUGAGAAUUGAACCCAGUGCCUCACGCAUACUCGGCAAACGCUCUACCACUGAGUCACAAACCCAGCCCUCUUUUGCUUUUUAUAUUACCUUUUUUGUAAAUUACAGAUUUUGUCUUUAAGGUAAAAUUAUAAUCUUAUAGAGUAGGUUUUUUUGUUUGUUUGUUUUUAUUUUUUAUUUUUAUUUUUUGUGGUUCUGAGGAUGAAACCUUGGGCCUCACACAUACUAGGCAAGUUCUCUACCACUGAGCUUCUCUAUAGACCGUUUUUUCUUAAUAUUUGAAAUUAAGUAUAUUUGGCAGUUGACAAGGAUGGGAAUAGGUAAAUGUAGGCUACAUUUUAACAUAGAUUAAGCAGUUUGUAUCAUUAAGUAACUAUUGAAGGUAAUAUAAAAUUCUACAUAUUUUGGCAUAUAUUUUUAUUUUAGGUUGAAAAAUCUAAAAUUCAUUAACAUCCAUAAGACACUAAUUUAAAAAAACUAUAAGUAAAUAGCAGAAAGAUUAAUAAAGGGAAGGGAUUGGGGGAGGGGAGGAAAAGAGAAAUUACUGGGGACUGAAUGAGAAUAUAGUCCCUGCUUUUACAAUAUAUCAAAAUGAAUCCUAUUGUUACAUAUAACUAAAAAUAACCAAUAAAAAACACAGUAAACCUCAUCUUUGAAAAUGUGUACUGCAAUUAGUAAUUUAGAAAUAAUUUGAAUUUUAAGUGAAAAAUAAUGUUAUUUUUUCUUUUUCUUUUUCUCCUUAGGUGGAAUGAACCUUACUUGUUGAAUAUCUCCUGGUUACUGGUUGGAUUCACUUAUAAAAGAAUCAUUUUCCUCUGUGUGGAAGCCACUUAGUGGCAUAGUUAAUUAUAAACCCAGGGAUUACAAAGCCUUUUGAUUUCCUGAAGGAGGGACAUACCACUAUAUCAAAUAAGCUUGACAUUAACAGCCAAAAUGGUGCUGUCCCAGAGACAACGAGAUGAACUGUAAGUUUCUUUCUUUUUCUUUUUUUUUUUUUUGUGAUGUUAAGAA
RNAcentral lists this long non-coding RNA (30253 nucleotides) under Marmota monax (woodchuck). Lineage: Eukaryota; Metazoa; Chordata; Mammalia; Rodentia; Sciuridae. The record is from RNAcentral.